GACGAACGCUGGCGGCGUGCUUAACACAUGCAAGUCGAACGGAAAGGCCUGCUUUCCCUUGUGGAUUGCGGGUACUCGAGUGGCGAACGGGUGAGUAACACGUGAGUGAUCUGCCCCCAACUAGGGUAUAAGACUGGGAAACUGGGUCUAAUUCCCGAUAGGACUGCAGGGUGGUGCAGGUGGUGGAAAACGAUUUUCUAGUGGUAGGGGAUGAGCUCGCGGACUAUCAGCUUGUUGGGGGGGUAGUGGACUACGAAGGCGGCGACGGGUAGCCGGACUGGGAGGGUCGACGGCCACAUUGGGACUGGGAUACGGCCCCGACUCCUACGGGAGGCAGCAGUUGGGACUAUUGCACAAUGGGCGGAAGCCUGAUGCAGCGACGCCGCGUGGGGGAUGUCGGCCUUCGGGUUGUAAACUCCUUUCGACCGCGAGGAAGCCACCUGGUUGGAAGGGUGGUGACGGUAGUGGUAGAAGAAGCACCGGCUAACUACGUG
This 494-nucleotide ribosomal RNA is filed under the name uncultured bacterium. RNAcentral's name for it is "partial 16S ribosomal RNA". It matches the Rfam family "Bacterial small subunit ribosomal RNA", at positions 28 to 507 of the family's 1533-position model. The record is from RNAcentral.